CCUACGGGAGGCAGCAGUGAGGAAUAUUGGUCAAUGGACGAGAGUCUGAACCAGCCAUGCCGCGUGAAGGAUGACUGCCCUAUGGGUUGUAAACUUCUUUUAUAUGGGAGUAACAUCUUCUACGUGUGUGCUUUUGUAUGUAUCAUACGCAUAAGGAUCGGCUAACCCCGUGCCAGCAGCCGCGGUAAUACGGAGGUUCCGAGCGUUAUCCGGAUUUAUUGGGUUUAAAGGGAGCGUAGUUGGAUUGUUAAGUCAGUUGUGAAAGUUUGCGGCUCAACCGUGGAAUUGCAGUUGAUACUGGCAGUCUAGAGUACAGUAGAGGGGGGCGGAAUUCGUGUUGUAGCGGUGAAAUGCGUAGAUAUCACGAAGAACACCGAUGGCGAAGGCAGUUCACUGGACUGCAACUGACGCUGAGGCUCGAAAGUGUGGGUAGCAAACAGGAUUAGAUACCCGAGUAGUC
This 460-nucleotide ribosomal RNA is filed under the name uncultured bacterium. Its description in RNAcentral is "partial 16S ribosomal RNA". It matches the Rfam family "Bacterial small subunit ribosomal RNA", at positions 338 to 795 of the family's 1533-position model. The record is from RNAcentral.